Molecule: long non-coding RNA, 552 nt
Organism: Gallus gallus (chicken)
Lineage: Eukaryota; Metazoa; Chordata; Aves; Galliformes; Phasianidae
Source: Ensembl
CUGUAGUAAUGUCUUUCCAGAGCCACUGUGAUGGGGCUUCAGGGAAACCUGUGGGUCUCCGUGUCUGUUGACUGCUGAUGGAUGUGUAUGUACAGUGAAGCAAUACUGUACGUAUUGUUCUCACUGCCUGCUAACUGUUGUUUUCUCAGUUUCAGAAGAGCUGCUUAGUGAGCUCAUCCAAAAUCUUACUCCUGAUGAAGAGAGAAUUUAUGUUUACAGGACAGAAACAGGAAUGCUAACACCCAUCUUGUAUAUUAAAAAAGAUGCUGAGAUCCUCACGCCAGGUUGUACUUCAGGUUCGCAUAUAAUAAGGAAGAGGUGAUUUCUAUGGUGAAGAACUGGAAGUUUUUUUCACCAAUGUGCUGAUGAAGAAAAUGGUAACACCUGAAGAUAUAGAAGGCAGAACAAGGAACUCCUACAUGCUUCAGCUACAGCUUGUACUAAGAAGCAAGAAAUCCAGUUCUUGGCAUCAUCGUUCACAAGCAUCCUGAAGUCUUUUUUUGAUGCACGUGUGGUUCAUGGAGAACCAUUUUGGAACCACAAGUAAGAGAG